UACGUAGGAUGCAAGCGUUAUCCGGAUUUACUGGGCGUAAAGAGCGUGUAGGCGGUUCCGUAAGUUGGGCGUGAAAGCCCCCGGCUUAACUGGGGAGAGUCGUUCAAUACUGUGGGACUUGAGGGUGGAUGAGGAGACCAGAAUUCCCGGUGUAGUGGUGAAAUGCGUAGAUAUCGGGAGGAAUACCCGUGGCGAAGGCGGGUCUCUAGGCCACUUCUGACGCUGAGACGCGAAAGCGUGGGGAGCGAACGGA
Molecule: ribosomal RNA, 253 nt
Filed under: uncultured bacterium
Lineage: Bacteria
Description: partial 16S ribosomal RNA
Rfam family: Bacterial small subunit ribosomal RNA
Source: RNAcentral